Mercenaria mercenaria is the source of this 349-nucleotide long non-coding RNA. RefSeq lists it as uncharacterized. The record is from RefSeq and is a predicted model, not a curated record. The transcript is spliced from 3 exons. Lineage: Eukaryota; Metazoa; Mollusca; Bivalvia; Venerida; Veneridae.
UUACCGAUACAGUCCUGUCACUAUGGAUAUCACAGCGAUAACCUUGGUAACAACUGCACUAUAAAUAUCAAGCACCGCGAUAAGAUAAACAGCGGAACAGUUACUUUUUUUUUUUGUUGUUGUUAACUCGACUUUUGGAUAAAAAGUGAAGGUAAUUUCAUACGCUUCAGGAUCUAUCAGAAAGUUUCGGACUGCCUUGUAUGCUGACGUUGUGUAUAUGCCAAACAAAAUGAAAUUUUCAAGAUGUUGUUUUCUUUGUGCAUGUAUGGUUUUUAUACCAAGUCGUCUGGUUUACAGCACUUCAUCACGUAAGUAGGCAGAUGAAUAGACCGCUAAAUCUGUUUCAAAU